RNAcentral lists this unclassified non-coding RNA (189 nucleotides) under plant metagenome. RNAcentral describes it as "partial contains small subunit ribosomal RNA and internal transcribed spacer 1". The stretch from base 1 to 46 matches the Rfam family "Eukaryotic small subunit ribosomal RNA", at positions 1786 to 1831 of the family's 1831-position model. The record is from RNAcentral.
AAGUCGUAACAAGGUUUCCGUAGGUGAACCUGCGGAAGGAUCAUUAAUGAAAUGCAAGGACGCUCUUUUUAGAGGUCCGACCAACUCAUUUACCUUCACACUGUGCACAUACUACUUUUUUACACCAAUUUUUAACGCAUUAGUUUAAGAAUGUAAAAUCAGUCUCGAAAGAGCAUAAAAUAAAUAAAA